AUGGAGAGCCCCGUGAAGGAGGAGGUCGGCGGGGAGCUGGCCAUGGAGAUCGAGUCCAGCGUCACGGCCGAGGACUGGCGCCGCGCGCUCUCCCGCGUCGUGCCCGCCGUCGCCGUCCUCCGCACCACCGCGCCGCGCGCCUUCGACACCGAGGUUGCCGGCGCCAGCUACGCCACCGGCUUCGUCGUCGACAAGGCCCGCGGCAUCAUCCUCACCAAUCGCCACGUCGUCAAGCCCGGUCCUGUGGUCUCGGAGGCGAUGUUCGUGAACCGGGAGGAGAUCCCUGUGUACCCCCUGUACAGAGACCCUGUACAUGAUUUUGGUUUUUUCCGCUAUGACCCAGGUGCCAUAAAGUUCCUCAAGUAUGAGGAGAUCCCUCUAGACCCUGAAGCAGCAUCUGUUGGGCUAGAAAUCCGAGUUGUCGGCAAUGACAGCGGCGAAAAGGUUUCAAUUUUGGCGGGAACACUUGCUCGACUGGAUAGAGAAGCGCCUCACUACAAGAAGGACGGGUACAAUGAUUUCAACACAUUCUAUAUGCAGGCUGCAUCUGGAACUAAAGGUGGCUCUAGUGGUUCCCCAGUUGUUGAUUGCCAAGGAAGAGCUGUUGCCCUGAAUGCUGGAAGCAAAUCUUCCAGUGCUUCUGCUUUUUUCCUUCCAUUAGAACGUGUUGUUAGGGCACUGAAUUUGAUACGUGAUUGUUGGGAUGCAUUUGGUAUCAAGUCAGAAUCUGUUUAUAUUCCUCGUGGUACACUGCAGAUGACCUUUCAACACAAAGGAUUUGAAGAAACUCGGCGUCUUGGACUGAGGAAUGAGACAGAGCAGAUGGUACGCCUUGUUUCUCCAGCAGGCGAAACUGGAAUGCUGGUUGUUGACUCUGUGGUGCCAGAAGGACCUGCACAUAAACAUUUGGAACCUGGUGAUGUGCUAGUUCACAUCAAUGGGGAGGUUGUAACCCAGUUUCUCGCAAUGGAGACUUUACUUGAUGACAGCGUCGGCAAGGAGGUAAAUUUGCAGAUUGAAAGAGGUGGAGUGCCUUUGACAGUAAAGUUAGAGGUUGAGGAUUUGCACUCUAUAACUCCAAAUCAUUUCUUGGAAGUCAGUGGUGCUGUCAUCCAUCCACUUUCAUACCAGCAGGCUAGAAACUUCCGCUUCAAAUGUGGUCUUGUAUAUGUUGCCGAGGCAGGGUACAUGCUCUCUCGGGCAUCGGUUCCACGCCAUUCAAUUAUCAAAAAGUUUGCGGGAGAGGAUAUUGAAAAUUUAGAUGACCUUAUUGCAGUUAUUUCAAAGCUGUCUAGGGGAGCACGAGUGCCUCUCGAAUAUGUAAAGUACACUGACCGUUAUCGGAACAAGUCUGUACUGGUGACAAUUGAUCAACACGGUUGGUAUGCGCCUCCUCAGUUGUACACUCGAAAUGACGCAACUGGUCUGUGGAAUGCAAAGUUGGCUAUACCGCUUGAAUCUCCCUUUGUAGUUUCUCAUCGUGCCGGCCAUAUGGAUGCAAACUUAAAUUCCAUUUCACCUUUGACUGAAUCAAGUCCUAUGGAUCUCAAAUGCCAGCACGAGUCUGAAAAUACGGCAGAUGGAUGCGUAAAAAUGCAAACAGAUGAGGAGAUUGCCGUAGAUGGAUCCCACUCUGGCGAAGAUUCCAUCAUUGAGAAAAAAAGGCGCCGGGUGGAUGAGGAGAUAGCUGCUGAGGGAACUAUAUCAUCUUUUGGAGAUUUAGAUGACAUAAAAGAUGGCGCAUUGAGGCAUCCUUCCAGUGUGGAAGUCUCUGACCUUGCUCGGACAAUAUCAAGUAAUGCUUCAUUGGCAGAACAAGUAAUUGAGCCAGCUCUUGUAAUGUUUGAGGUGCAUGUGCCACCAAUAUGCAUGCUUGAUGGAGUGCAUUCUCAACAUUUCUUUGGAACCGGUGUGAUAAUAUAUCAUUCUGACUGCCUAGGUCUGGUUGCCGUCGAUAGGAAUACAGUUGCUGUAUCUAUCUCUGAUAUAAUGCUCUCUUUUGCUGCAUAUCCCAUUGAAAUACCUGCAGAGGUUGUUUUUCUGCAUCCUGUUCAUAAUUUUGCAUUGGUUGCCUAUGAUCCUUCUGCACUGGGAGCUGGUGCAUCUGUUAUUCGAGCUGCUAAGCUUCUUCCUGAACCUGCCUUGCGCCGAGGAGAUUCUGUCUACCUAGUUGGGCUAAGUAGAAGCUUACAGGCUACAUCAAGGAAAUCAACCAUAACUAAUCCUUGCACGGCUGUUAAUAUUGGCUCAGCUGACUGCCCACGAUAUCGUGCAAUAAAUAUGGAGGUCAUUGAGCUUGAUACUGAUUUCGGUAGCUCAUUUUCGGGUAUAUUGACGGAUGAGCAAGGAAGAGUUCAAGCGUUAUGGGCAAGCUUUUCCACCCAGAUCAAAAGAAAAAAGAAAAGCACAAAACGGCAGCUUACGCCCAAGCUCAAAUAUGGUUGUAGCAGUUCAGAGGACCAUCAGUUCGUUAGAGGUAUACCAAUAUAUGCAAUAAGUCAAGUCCUUGAGAAGAUAAUCUCGGGUACUCCUGGACCAUUUCGUCUUAUCAAUGGAAUUCGAAGGCCAAUGCCACUUGUCAGACUUCUGGAGGUGGAACUUUAUCCAACUUUGCUCUCGAAAGCAAGAAGCUAUGGAUUGAGCGAUAACUGGGUGCAGGCUCUCGCUAAGAAGGACCCUGUGCGCAGACAAGUCUUGCGGGUCAAAGGUUGUUUGGCUGGAUCAAAGGCGGAAAAGCUUCUGGAACAGGGAGAUAUGAUUCUGGCUAUCAACAAGGAACCAAUAACAUGCUUUCUUGACAUCGAGAAUGCUUGCCAAAAGUUGGACCAAUCUAUCGAUUCAGAUGGCGUGCUUAACAUGACAAUAUUUCGUCAGGGAAAAGAAAUUGACCUUAUUGUUGGAACCGAUGUAAGAGAUGGUAAUGGUUCAACAAGGAUGGUGAAUUGGUGUGGAUCCAUAAUUCAGGAUCCUCAUUCAGCAGUGCGUGCACUUGGUUUCUUGCCCAAGGAAGGUCAUGGAGUUUAUGUUGCUAGAUGGUGCCAUGGAAGUCCCGUACAUAGAUAUGGUCUUUAUGCUCUCCAGUGGAUAGUUGAAGUUAACGGGCAACCAACCCCAGAUCUUGAGUCCUUUAUUGAAGUGGUGAAGGGAUUGGAAGACCGUGAGUUUGUUAGGGUGAAGACUGUCCACUUGAACGGAAAACCACGUGUGCUCACUCUGAAGCAGGACCUUCACUACUGGCCGACCUGGGAGCUCACUUUUGAACCGGAGUCCGACACAUGGAAGAGGAGAACAAUAAAGGCGUUGCAGCCAACCGGGGCUUGA
This 3321-nucleotide ribosomal RNA is filed under the name Triticum aestivum (bread wheat). Its description in RNAcentral is "partial small subunit ribosomal RNA". Lineage: Eukaryota; Viridiplantae; Streptophyta; Magnoliopsida; Poales; Poaceae. The record is from RNAcentral.